CACACCCAUGGCACGCUGCAGCUCACCCUGCGUGCACACGCACACCCAUUGCACCCUGCGUGCACACGCACACCCCCAUUGCACGCUGCAGCUCACCCUGCGUGCACACGCACACCCAUUGCACCCUGCGUGCACACGCACACCCCCAUUGCACGCUGCAGCUCACCCUGCGUGCACACGCGCGCACACGCACCCCCCCCGCAGCCCCCGCCCGCGCGCCCCGUCACGUGCCCCCCCCGCGCACCCGCACGCAGCGCGGCGGCGCGCGGCGGCGGGAGCGCGGCCGGCAGCGGAGCGGCGUCCGCGGCGCGGUCCGGCUGGCCUGGCGGCGGGAUGAGGAGGAGGAGGACGGCGGCGUGCUGGACGCUGAUGCUGCUCGCCGCUGCUUUUUGCGACGUCGCGGCUGGAAAGGGCGGGCGCGGCGGUGCCCGGGGGGCCGCGCGCGGCAGCGCCCGGGGGGCCUCCCGCGUGCGGGCGAAGGCGGCCCCCCGCUACGGCGCGGCCCGACGGGUGGCGGGGGCGGCGGCGGCGGGGGCCGCGGCCGGCGCGGCGGCGGGGGCCGCCCUGCGCAGGGCCAGGCUCUCCGGGGAGCUCGACGGGGACUAUGGCGCCGAGUACGGGGACACCAACCGGACGGCCGCCGCCAGCUCGUGGACGUCGGCUGCCCGAGCCUGGGACUCUUUGGGCUGGGCCGUGUCCUGGCUCUGCCCGCUCGCCGCCUUCCUCCACCUCUGACGGGCCCCGCUCCUCGCCCUGCCCGGCGCAGCCCGCGGCUUGACCCCAACCCUCCGAAACCCCACGGCCGUCGCAGGAGCCCUGACCGUGCCCGCUCCGGCUCUCCCUGUUUUGGGAUGUUGCGAGGGUAGGACACCCCACGGGGCUGAGGGGCCACAUACGCGGGCCACCAACAGCUCGAAGGACAGCGCCGACCACCCGAGCAGCCAGCACUGCCCACGGCCCAGCCUGGCACUUGCUGUUCCCACCCCCAGCCCGUCCCCCACGACCGGGGAGGUGCCCCCGCCCUGGGGCAGGACCCCACGGGAAGCCUCGGGCUCGCCGCGCACCCCUCCACAGCCUCCCUGUGUAUCUGCAGCUGUGCCAAACCCUGCCACCUCGGGCACCCCGUUCGUACCGCUCCUUUGUACGUGGGUUCCUAAGUGUUUUGAUGAUGACAACGUGGCAAUAAAGCUGGGCAGACAGUA
Long non-coding RNA from Dromaius novaehollandiae (emu), 1202 nucleotides. RefSeq lists it as uncharacterized. NCBI's taxonomy places the organism in Eukaryota, Metazoa, Chordata, Aves, Casuariiformes, Dromaiidae. The transcript has 2 exons. The record is from RefSeq and is a predicted model, not a curated record.